RNAcentral lists this ribosomal RNA (306 nucleotides) under Triticum aestivum (bread wheat). RNAcentral's name for it is "partial small subunit ribosomal RNA". The record is from RNAcentral. Lineage: Eukaryota; Viridiplantae; Streptophyta; Magnoliopsida; Poales; Poaceae.
AUGAUGCGGGACCUAGGACUACGAGACGAGGACUUGGAUGGUGUGGUCUAUGAGCAAGAGGAGAUGCUGCCGAUUGAUUCUUUUCAUUGGACCGCAAUAGCAAGAGUUCAUGUUGGAAAGACAUAUAAUCAAUUUUGGUUCUUCAAAUACAUACGAGCAGCUUGGUAUCUUGAGCAAGAUGUUAAAAUCCGUCCGCAGGAGGAUAAACUUUACAGUCUCCACUUUUCAUGCCUAGGGGAUUGGGAAAGAGUCAUGGAGUAUGGUCCAUGGAAUUUUAGAGGGGGCGCAGUGAUCAUUGCCCCUUGA